GGACGAACGCUGGCGGCGUGCCUAAGACAUGCAAGUCGAACGGGACCUUCGGGUCUAGUGGCGAACGGCGGAGUAAUACAUAAGUAACUUGCCUCGAAGAUCGGGAUAGCCGCGGGAAACUGCGAGUAAUACCGGAUGUGACGAGUGGGGGGCAUCCCCUGCUCAUUAAAUGGUUUUUCGCUUCGAGAGCGGCUUAUGACACAUCAGCUAGUUGGUGGGGUAAAGGCCUACCAAGGCGACGACGUGUAGGGGGUCUGAGAGGAUGAUCCCCCCGAGUGGGACUGAGACAUGGUCCAGACUCCUACGGGAGUUAGCAUCAGGGAAUCUUGCACAAUGAGCGAAAGCUCGAUGCAGCGACGCCGCGUGGGUGAUGAAGGACUGCGGUCCGUAAAGCCCUGUCAGAGGGGAAGAAGAUCUGACGGUACCCUCAGAGGAAGCCCCGGCUAACUACGUGCCAGCAGCCGCGGUAACACGUAGGGGGCAAGCGUUGUCCGGAAUUACUGGGCGUAAAGCGCGCGCAGGCUGUUUGGUCAGCAGCGGGUGAAAUCACAGGGCUCAACUCUGUGGCUGCUCGCUGAACUGCCAGACUAGGGUUCGGGAGAGGGCAGUGGAAUUCCUGGUGUAGCGGUGGAAUGCGUAAAUAUCAGGAGGAACACCCGUGGCGAAAGCUGCUGCCUGGAACGAUACCGACGCUGAGGCGCGAAAGCUAGGGGAGCGAACGGGAUUAGAUACCCCGGUAGUCCUAGCCGUAAACGAUGGACACUAGGUGUUGGGAGCAUCGACCCUCCCAGUGCUGUUCUGCUAACGCGUUAAGUGUCCCGCCUGGGGAGUACGGCCGCAAGGUUGAAACUAAAAGGAAUUGACGGGGGCCCGCACAAGCAGCGAGGCAUGUGGUUUAAUUCGAUGCUACACGAAGAACCUUACCUGGGCUUGACAUGUAGUGGAAAGCGGUAUGAAAGUACUGCCCUUGUUGUAGCAAUACAACAACCGCUAUGCAGGUGGUGCAUGGUUGUCGUCAGCUCGUGUCGUGAGAUGUAAGGUUAAGUCCUUAAACGAGCGCAACCCCUGCCACUAGUUGCCACCGGUUCGGCCGGGCACUCUAGUGGGACCGCUAGUGAUAAACUAGAGGAAGGUGGGGAUGACGUCAAAUCCUCACGCCCCUUAUGUCCAGGGCUACACACAUGCGACAAUGGUAGGGACAGCAGGAUGCGACGAGGUAACUCUGAGCUAAUCCUCAAACCCUGCCCCAGUACAGAUCGAGGGCUGCAACCCGCCCUCGUGAAGAUGGAGUUGCUAGUAAACGCAGGUCAGCUAUACUGCGUUGAAUACGUUCCCGGGCCU
This 1341-nucleotide ribosomal RNA is filed under the name uncultured bacterium. RNAcentral describes it as "bacterial SSU rRNA". It matches the Rfam family "Bacterial small subunit ribosomal RNA", at positions 27 to 1381 of the family's 1533-position model. The record is from RNAcentral.